RNAcentral lists this ribosomal RNA (523 nucleotides) under uncultured Pseudomonadota bacterium. Its description in RNAcentral is "bacterial SSU rRNA". It matches the Rfam family "Bacterial small subunit ribosomal RNA", at positions 384 to 896 of the family's 1533-position model. The record is from RNAcentral. Lineage: Bacteria; Pseudomonadati; Pseudomonadota.
CGACGCAGCAACGCCGCGUGGGUGAUGAAGGCCCUCGGGUCGUAAAGCCCUGUCAGGUGGGAAGAAGGGGGCGGAGUCAAAGAGGGCUGUGCCUGUGACGGUACCACCAGAGGAAGCACCGGCUAACUCCGUGCCAGCAGCCGCGGUAAUACGGAGGGUGCGAGCGUUAUUCGGAAUUACUGGGCGUAAAGAGCGUGCAGGCGGCUGGGUCGGUCUGAUGUGAAAGCCCGGGGCUCAACCCCGGAAGGGCAUUGGAAACAGCCCGGCUUGAGUACCGGAGAGGAAGGGGGAAUUCCCGGUGUAGCGGUGAAAUGCGUAGAGAUCGGGAGGAAUACCAGUGGCGAAGGCGCCCUUCUGGACGGAUACUGACGCUCAGACGCGAAAGCGUGGGGAGCAAACAGGAUUAGAUACCCUGGUAGUCCACGCUGUAAACGAUGAACACCAGGUGUGGCGGGUAUUGACUCCCGCCGUGCCACAGCUAACGCGUUAAGUGUUCCGCCUGAGGAGUACGGUCGCAAGACUA